Small nuclear RNA from Rhineura floridana, 161 nucleotides. RefSeq annotates it as U1 spliceosomal RNA. The record is from RefSeq and is a predicted model, not a curated record. Lineage: Eukaryota; Metazoa; Chordata; Lepidosauria; Squamata; Rhineuridae. The transcript has a single exon.
UGAAGUCUGGCAGGGGAGAUACCUUGAUCAUGAAGGUGGUUUUCCCAGGGUGAGGCUCAUCCAUUGCACUCCGGGUGUGCUGACCCCUGUGAUUUCCCAGAAUGUGGGAAACUCAACUGCAUAAUUUGUGGCUUUUGAUAUUGUUGACCUACAGCAUCCUC